ACUUAAAUAGCCUAAGACUAAGGGCGUUACAUUGAAGCUGUAGAGGUGACGGUAAGUCUUUGAGUA
This 66-nucleotide transfer RNA is filed under the name Alvinocaris longirostris. Its description in RNAcentral is "tRNA-Phe". The record is from RNAcentral. Lineage: Eukaryota; Metazoa; Arthropoda; Malacostraca; Decapoda; Alvinocarididae.